Molecule: ribosomal RNA, 545 nt
Filed under: uncultured bacterium
Lineage: Bacteria
Description: bacterial SSU rRNA
Rfam family: Bacterial small subunit ribosomal RNA
Source: RNAcentral
UAGGGAAUCUUCCGCAAUGGGCGAAAGCCUGACGGAGCAACGCCGCGUGAGUGAAGAAGGAUUUCGGUUCGUAAAGCUCUGUUGUUAGGGAAGAAUGAUUGUGUAGUAACUAUACACAGUAGAGACGGUACCUAACCAGAAAGCCACGGCUAACUACGUGCCAGCAGCCGCGGUAAUACGUAGGUGGCAAGCGUUGUCCGGAAUUAUUGGGCGUAAAGCGCGCGCAGGUGGUUUAAUAAGUCUGAUGUGAAAGCCCACGGCUCAACCGUGGAGGGUCAUUGGAAACUGUUAAACUUGAGUGCAGGAGAGAAAAGUGGAAUUCCUAGUGUAGCGGUGAAAUGCGUAGAGAUUAGGAGGAACACCAGUGGCGAAGGCGGCUUUUUGGCCUGUAACUGACACUGAGGCGCGAAAGCGUGGGGAGCAAACAGGAUUAGAUACCCUGGUAGUCCACGCCGUANCGAUGAGUGCUAAGUGUUGGUCUCAUAAGAGAUCAGUGCUGCAGCUAACGCAUUUAGCACUCCGCCUGGGGAGUACGACCGCAAGGU